CCAAUUGGUUGAAACCCAUCAGCCAUUAGCUCAGAAGCAAAUCCACACAUUUCCUGUCACACAUUUACCCCAGUUCUCAGAAACUGCAAAAAUAACUAUACAAGGUGUCAAAGUAGCAGCCGUGUUAGUCUGUAUUCGCAAAAAGAAAAGAG
Molecule: long non-coding RNA, 152 nt
Organism: Dermochelys coriacea (leatherback sea turtle)
Lineage: Eukaryota; Metazoa; Chordata; Testudines; Dermochelyidae
Exons: 3
Source: RefSeq, a predicted model, not a curated record